Molecule: long non-coding RNA, 376 nt
Organism: Gallus gallus (chicken)
Lineage: Eukaryota; Metazoa; Chordata; Aves; Galliformes; Phasianidae
Source: Ensembl
GAAGAACUCAGGAGUACAGGGAGUCUUAUCAAUCCUCCAGGUCUUCUACUCAGAUAAUCUACUGCACACACUACUGCUUCUGUCAGUCCUCAUUAAAACCAACACUGGAGAUCCAAGAGUGAUAAAUCCAAGCAUAACAGAAAAAUGUAUGUUGUAGUUCAUAUCUUUGAUCACACCACUCAAAAAUGGUCACUGCCUCAGAGAGGAGAGAUCAGCUUCAUUCAUCAGUCAUGUUUCUAUUCAUGCACCUGUUCUUUAGCAUCUUACAAAAUCAAGAUGGAUGGCUCCUGUCCACUCUGUAGUUCUCAGCAUCUUUAACUCCUUCCUGAGCAGCUGCUACACAUACACUCUGAAUUUCCUGGAAUUUGGACUAUCA